Molecule: long non-coding RNA, 1095 nt
Filed under: Vulpes vulpes (red fox)
Lineage: Eukaryota; Metazoa; Chordata; Mammalia; Carnivora; Canidae
Description: lncRNA (ENSVVUG00000023956.1)
Source: RNAcentral
CCAGUGCCCGCAGCGCCCUCCUGUCCCACCGCCCACCCCCCGCGUCCUACCUUGGUGUCCCCCGGGGCUGUACAUCCGGAGACAGCUGAAGGGAGAAGCAGAAGGGUCUGCUACGUGGACUGCACCUUGAUAUUGUAGAUCUAAACAGCUAAAAGGAAGAUGGAACCGAGAGGCAUCAUCUGCAGGGGCCAAGUUACUCAGUGCCCAUUUUCUGGAACCAGGUUCCCACCUCCCCUCUGCACCAGGCCCCGUGACUGGGGCACUUCUUUGAGAGUGUACGCCCCAAAUGAGAAGACAAGCCCCCUGCAGAAAACUCUGGGGCUCAAGCAAGUGCUGGACACAGAAGAAAAAUCCAGAAUCGGCCACGUGGUGCAGGUGAACUCAGGACAGCUGUUCUCUAGAAACACUACAGCAGUGGUGUGUGGGCCGGAAGUGCUUGAGCGUGCAUGGGGCCUCUCUGGGGCCUCAGGGUCUCAGGGCGGCAGGAAGGUGUGGACAGGCCUGUCCCGGAGGCACCACUGCCUCAAUCAGCGAGCUGAUAAACACGCCUCAUGUUUCCCGAGAGCUUCCCUCUCUGUCGUGACUGGUGUGGUUCACAGAGAACAAGUCAUGUGGACUCCACGAAGACUCUGCCCUAUUAUAAACGAUAAGUUGAUCUCGUUAUUACCCGACUUCACCCCCCGUGGUGGUAAACAGAUCACCACGUUUAUGCUGGCACAUGAGAGACAGGAUUAUUUGCUUUUGUUCUCUACAAGAGGCCUUCUUUUCUUCUCGGAAUUAGAAUGGCACACAAACCCCACUGACCCCCGCAGCCUGCCUGUGGGAUUACAUCCUGCUCCUUCGUAUUUCGAGUCUGGUCUGGGAAACAAAGGUCAGACCCAAGUAGGUGGGGCGGGGGCGGGGGUGGAGGUUGACAGGGAUUCCAUGCUGAGAGAGAGACGGAAUGCAGGGCCCAUCUGUCUGCCAACCGGAGGGUUUUCCUCUCUAUCAACAGUGUAUUAACUUGUUCUGCACAGAAAAAAUGUAAAUUGUUCAUAAUUAAAAGACACACAUUGGACACUGAGAAUUAAUAGGAAAAACAUGAAUUUGUUAACA